GACGAACGCUGGCGGCGUGCUUAACACAUGCAAGUCGAACGGAAAGGCCCUGCUUUUGUUGGGUGCUCGAUUGGCGAACGGGUGAGUAACACAUGAGUAACCUCCCCCUGACUUUGGGAUAACUUCAGGAAACUGGGGCUAAUACCGGAUAUGAGCUCCUGCUCCAUGGUGUGGGUUGGUAAGAUUCGGCGGUUGGGGAUCUACUCGCGGCUUAUCAGCUUGUUGGUGGGGUAGUGGCUUACCAAGGCUUUGACGGGUAGCCGUCCUGAGAGGGUGACCGGCCACAUGGGGACUGAGAUACGGCCCAGACUGCUACGGGAGGCAGUAGUGGGGAAUAUUGCACAAUGGGCGGAAGCCUGAUGCAGCAGCGCCGCGUGCGGGAUGACGGGCUUCGGGUUGUAAACCGCUUUCGCCUGUGACGAAGCGUGAGUGACGGUAAUGGGUAAAGAAGCACCGGCUAACUACGUG
RNAcentral lists this ribosomal RNA (468 nucleotides) under uncultured bacterium. RNAcentral describes it as "partial 16S ribosomal RNA". It matches the Rfam family "Bacterial small subunit ribosomal RNA", at positions 28 to 507 of the family's 1533-position model. The record is from RNAcentral.